Eucalyptus grandis is the source of this 1704-nucleotide RNA transcript. It is a transcript of the gene named aurachin C monooxygenase/isomerase, with no coding region annotated. NCBI's taxonomy places the organism in Eukaryota, Viridiplantae, Streptophyta, Magnoliopsida, Myrtales, Myrtaceae. The record is from RefSeq and is a predicted model, not a curated record. The transcript is spliced from 4 exons.
CCCCUAUCAGCACAUGAAAUUUGUCAAUGACCCAAUUGUCUUCUACUUCUCAACACUUUCUUCACUCCCUGGAUUCCACUUCCCGCAAUCAUACAGCCAAAAUGAGACCCAACAAUUGGGAGUCUUGGACAGUCUCUCCUUUAUGAACUAGAAACGCAGAGCUAGACCUGGAGAGGGUACAACAGAAGUCAUGAGUCACAGUCACGAUCUUCCUCAGCAAGAGAAGCUGAAGCCAAAGCCAAAGCCAAAGGCUGUGAUCGUAGGAGGGAGUAUAGCAGGCGUGUCCUGUGCGCAUGCACUCAUUCGGGCGGGUUGGGAUGUUGUGGUCAUAGAGAAAUCGCGCAAGCCUCCAAAAGGAAGCCCCACCGGUGCAGGACUCAGCUUGGAUCCUCUCUCUCAGGAGCUGAUCAGGUCCUGGACAGGAUGCCCCGAACUCCUCCGAGACAUCACCUGUCCUCUCACCAGUGAUCUAAACCAAGCAAUCGAUGAUGAGAAAACAAGGAAGAUACUGGCAAGAGAUGAUCAUUUCAAUCAUAGAGCAGCACAUUGGGCUAGUCUGCAUGACCACCUGUUCACUGCAUUGCCACCGGAAAUAUUCCUCUGGGGCCAUCUUUUCCUCUCUUUCUCUGUUUCCAAUGAUAAGCAAUCAGUUAAAAUGAAGGCCCAAGUUCUCGACACUGGAGAAACCACCGAAGUAUGCGGAGAUUUGCUCAUCGCUGCAGAUGGAUGCCUCUCCUGAUUCGCAAUCACUUUCUCCCCAAUGUCAAACCAAGAUAUUCCGGCUAUUGUGCCUGGAGAGGAGUUUUUGAUUUCUCGGGCAGUGAAGAUUCUGAAACUAUAAAGAACGUUAGGGAGGCACAUCCGGAGCUUGGAAAAUGCCUGUACUUAGACUUGGCACCUGGAAAUCAUACUGUUCUUUAGGAGAUCCCAAACAAAAGGCUGAACUGGAUAUGGUAUUUGAAUCAACCUGAACCUGACUUGCAGGGAAAUUCAGUUACUACAAAAGUAAGUGAUGACAUGAUUCAGAAGAUGUACCAAGAUGCAGAGAAAAUUUGGCAUCCAGCUUUGGUUCAGCUCAUGAGAGAAACUAAAGAACCUUUCAUAAAUGCCAUUUACGACUGUGAUCCACUAGAACAAAUAGUUUGGGACAAUGUGGUACUUAUUGGUGACGCAGCUCACCCCACAACACCGCACAACUCAAGGAGCACAAACAUGUCGAUUCUGGAUGCAGCUGUCCUAGGCUGGUGCUUGGAGAAGUUGGGAUUGAAAAAUCUAACAGCUGCUCUUGAAGAAUACCAAUCCAUUAGGCUACCUGUUGCAUCCAAGCAAGUUUUGCAUGCUCGGCAAGUCGGGCGGAUAAAACAAGGCCUUGCACUUCCUGACUGCAAACCUUUCAAUCCUAACACAGCCACUCAGGAGGAAUGCAAGAUGCUUCUGCAGAGAGGCGUGCCCUUCUUCGGACAAAAUCCUUUGCUCAGAUCAAGUGACCUUUUGUUGGCUGGCAAACGGUGAUCAUCUUGUAGUUGUUGCCAUUCUGGUCAUGUCAAUGUUGAUUUCGGACAUGACACAGAUUAUUUCUAGCUCCAGCUAAAUAUAGCAAGAGAUGUGUCUUUUUAAGUAUCCGACUUAAACAGGAUCAUCACGGAUGGUGACCCUCAUAUUAGACUUGUGUUAGAGAGUUAAUGAUCAUCUCAUUUACCAAAA